This is a long non-coding RNA of Alnus glutinosa, 1538 nucleotides long. RefSeq lists it as uncharacterized. Lineage: Eukaryota; Viridiplantae; Streptophyta; Magnoliopsida; Fagales; Betulaceae. The transcript is spliced from 2 exons. The record is from RefSeq and is a predicted model, not a curated record.
GCAAACAGAGAGCUGAGUUGGGAAGGAAGUCAGUGAAACCGAGAGAGAGAGUUUGGAGUCAGAGGGAAAAAGAGAAAUUGAGAGAAUAAUAAGAGAGAGGCAGAAUUGAGAGAUCGAGAGAAAGUGGCCCAAAAGCAGAUCAAGAAGGAGGGAAACCCGGGUGAUGAACCCAGACCCACGUCCGUGGAUCAGUAAACAGGCCGGCAGUGAAGAACCGUAACAGCAUCCCGGCAACCCGAUCAACAGGAACCCAAUCUGACCCAGCCCAGACUUCGGCGAACCCAGCAAACCGUGUGUAGUCCAGCCCACCCAGCAACCCGUGGCCGGUCCUCUACCAUGGACUUCAACCUAGCCAACCGAACCUGCCAAACCCAGCAAUAUCAGCCCACGGCAACCCAGAACCCGGCAUGCCCAGCCACAUCCUCCAACCCAGCCAACCCGAUCCAGAACCGUGAACUGAACCACUCAAUGAAACCCCGGCGUGCAGCUCUGACCGUGGAGCCGUAACCCAGCUGACCCAGAAUCCGUGGACUCCAAUCCAGCCCAAACAACAAACCGUAGCAGCAAAGCCGUGACCCUGACCCUGCAGACCACAACCCGACGAACCCGUGAGCCAUCCAGCCUAGAUUCGCCAAGCCCGACCCUCCGGCGUCAACCCAGAGGCUUCUCCGACGAAGUUCUGGCAGUGAACCGUGCCGCACCAGAUUUCCAGCAACCCACACGACCCGAGCCUUCUUUCCUUUUUUAUUUUUCUGUGAUUCUUCUUUGUUUCUCCUUAUCUGGCCGAAUCAGAACAAUGAUUCAAAAGUGAGAAUUUGUGAAGAGCUGACCAGAUAUAGGAGAUCCAGCAUAGAGGUGACCCAGUUCUGACCUGCAAGCCCAACCCGAGGCCCAAAACCCGUAGUCCAACCCGGUAGGCCAUCAACCUAUGAAGACCAUGACACUGUGGACCUGAUUUCAGCCCAUUUAUUUGAACCACAGCCCAAAACCAAUCUGGCAGACCAUGUGUACAGCCCAGAUUCAUUGAGCCCAACCCUUGAAGCAAAACCCAAAGCCCGAAGCCCAAACCCGGAUCCAACCCUUUUGGUUGUGCAACCCGGACAACCCAUAACCCGAAGACCCGACCCGGAUCCAAACCAAUGACCCGGAACCCGACCCGCCGGUGACCCAUCUCCGGCGACUUUUCCGGUGACUUUUCCGGCGACUUCCGGUGAAUUUUUCCGGCGAAUUCCCGAGACCGAACUCAUCGUUUUCACGGAAUUUUCUAGUGAAAAUUCUUAGUUAAUAAACAAAAAAAAUAUACAAAGAGGAUUAAAGCUCGAUCCCGAUAUUAUGGGAAAUCCAAGUUAUGAACAGAGAGACGUAGGUGGCCGGGAUGGGAUCUAGGAAUGCAUUAGGACAUUUCAUUUAUAUUACCCCAUAAUUUUCAGUUAUUGUAUUUUUACAAUUAAAUGACCGUUUCCGCAUUUAUUAAAAACUCUGAGAUUUUGAAACCAUUAUUAUUUUUAUUUAUUUAAAUCAGCAUACUAGUUAAGAUA